UCUCUUCGGAGCAUUUUACGAGGUGCUGCAUGGUUGUCGUCAGCUCGUGCCGUGAGGUGUCGGGUUAAGGUCCCAUAACGAGCGCAACCCCUACCUUAGUUGCCAUCAGGUAAUGCUGGGGACUCUAAAGGAACUGCCUACGCAAGUAGUGAGGAAGGCGGGGAUGACGUCAAAUCAGCACGGCCCUUACGUCCAGGGCUACACACGUGCUACAAUGGCCGAUACAGAGGGCAGCUACCUGGUGACAGGAUGCAAAUCUCCAAAGUCGGUCUCAGUUCGGAUCGGAGUCUGCAACCCGACUCCGUGAAGUUGGAUUCGCUAGUAAUCGCGCAUCAGCCAUGGCGCGGUGAAUACGUUCCCGGGCCUU
RNAcentral lists this ribosomal RNA (367 nucleotides) under uncultured Sphingobacteriales bacterium. Its description in RNAcentral is "bacterial SSU rRNA". It matches the Rfam family "Bacterial small subunit ribosomal RNA", at positions 1016 to 1382 of the family's 1533-position model. The record is from RNAcentral. Lineage: Bacteria; Pseudomonadati; Bacteroidota; Sphingobacteriia; Sphingobacteriales.